AGCUACAUCCGUCACCUGACACGGCCCUACCAGGAACAGCCGCGCUCCCGCGGAUUCUGGUGCUGCUCGCGUCCCCGCUCCCCUAUUCCCCUUAUUUUAUUCCUGGCUCCCCUCGUCGAAAGUCUUCCAUUCUUCAAACUAGAUUAUUUAAAAAUGAAAAAGGAAGAAAGGAAAGCGAGGUCAUCUCAUUGCUCUAUCCGCCAAUCAGGAGGCUGAAUGUCAGUUUUGAACUAAAAGCCGCUCCGCUCCUCUUCUAGAUUUGGAAAACAAGCGAAAUUAAACUAAACCGCUGCACGCCUCUGACGCGACAUCUGGACACGGCGCGGCGCUGGCGCUGCCGGAGCUGUCGACCCGGCCUGGCGCCGGACUAGUGUCCCUUUUGAUGAGAAGAAUAAGCCUCAUUCUGAUUCAACAGCAGAGAUCAAAGAAAAGACUUCUGUUUUCUGGCCACCAGAUAUAUGUUAUCUGUGCUUAAAGAAUUGAAAAACACACAUCAAAGGAGAAUUUUCUUGGAAAGAGAGGGUUCAAGCAUCACUGUUAGGUGUGCUGGAAUCCUUUCCCGAGUCAGUACUGCUUUCUAGAAGAAAACCGGGGAGAUCUAUUUGGAAUGUAUCUAACUCCAAAGAAACCAUCAGAGGUAACAGUAGAGACGGGGUUUCACCAUGUUGGCCAGACUGGUCUUGAACUCUCGACCUCGUGAUUCGCCCGCCUCGGCCUCCCAAAGUGCUGGGAUUACAGGUGUGAGACACCACACCCGGCGGAUAGAGAGAAUUUUGACAGUAUCUUACAGACAGCAAGUUGAACAUUGUGGGAUGCAUGAGCUAUUGAGGCCUUUGCAGCUUUCUGCUACAUGGAGGCUAGGGCCAGAGUCAAGAUUUAUGCUUUGCAGCACACUGGUCAGCUGUUUUUGCAAAUCAGAUUAAAUGAUUUUUAAAUGAGGCUGAGAGCAUGGGAGAUACUAAUGUGUGUUUCCUUGUGAGCUACUGCAUAAGUUAGGAAAUUGAAAUACAGAAAGAUGAAAAGUGAUUUGCCCAAGCAUAUAGAUCAAAGCUGUGGCAGAACCAGGACUGGAACCUAUAUCUCUCUACUAAUGGUUUUUUUAAAAAAAUAACCUUGUUUCAAAAAUAUUAAAAAGUCACAAGAAAGGUAAACAUGUGGAUAAACAAAAUGAAGAAAAUAAAAAUUAUCCAGUAAUAACAUAUUGGCAUAUGUCUUUCUGGUAUAUUUUCCUGUGUUGUCAUCAUUAUCAUCUCCAUCAUCAUUAUAUCCAUCAUUAUCAUCAUCAUCAUCAUCAUCAUCAUCAUUAUCAUCACCAUAGUGAACAUGUAAUGCUUACCUAGUGCCAGAUGCUGUCUAGGCAUUUUACAUGUGUUACUGGUAACUCAUGUAAUCCUCAUAACAACCUUAUAAGGUGGUUGCUAUUAUCCCCAUGUUACAUAUGAAGAGACAGAAGCAUAAAGAAGUUGCACCGCUGGUAAUUGGCUGGGAUUUGAACUUAAGCAGUCUAACCUUAGAGUAAUGAUUUUAACAACUAUGCUAUAUACAUACAAAUUUACAAAAUAAAACUGGGCUCAGACAAUAAAAA
Molecule: long non-coding RNA, 1585 nt
Filed under: Homo sapiens (human)
Lineage: Eukaryota; Metazoa; Chordata; Mammalia; Primates; Hominidae
Description: non-protein coding CDKN2B-AS1:71
Rfam family: CDKN2B antisense RNA 1 convserved region 3 (bases 379-522)
Source: RNAcentral